This 276-nucleotide long non-coding RNA is filed under the name Elaeis guineensis (African oil palm). RNAcentral's name for it is "long non-coding RNA (EGUI_LNC082412)". The record is from RNAcentral. Lineage: Eukaryota; Viridiplantae; Streptophyta; Magnoliopsida; Arecales; Arecaceae.
CUUAUCCACUCUGGGCAUGAGAAGAGAGGAGGCGUGGCUUCUUUGUGCAUGGAGAGUUUACAUGAGAAACUCUUUCUCGUGUAAAGCAAGGGGCGCACAAGAUAAGGUGGGUGGUGCAUGGAUUAGUUGGUUGCCCAUUCAAAUUCAAACAUCCUUUGAAUUUGAAUGGCCAACUAACUUAUUUUUAUCCAGAUAAUUAGUGCACAAGGGUGGGCAUGGGAUGCCUUCUGUGUGGGAGAAAAUUCAUGAGAAGUUGCUUCUCAUGAAUUCAAAUGG